CGGCGGGUCUUAGGCGGGGGGCUAGGGGUCCCUUGACAGGCUUCCAAGCCUCGACCGUAAACCCUCUAUAGGACGGGCCGAGAGCUGAGGUGAGGCGCAGAAGAUCACCAGAACCUCUGUCAUCCAGCUAUGAGUAUCCGUCCUCUGGGGCCGGCGGUCGUGGAGCGGUCUCCGUAGGGAGGUCGUAACCACGUUUGCCAGGCGAACUCGGCCAGGCCCGGGAGGGAGCAACCUAAGCUUGGACGUUCGGCGCUCAGAGGGGUGCGGGUAUGAGUGAAGAGGCUGAAGGGACCUGGUGAAAACUAUGCGUCGAACCUCAGUGACCCGCCG
RNAcentral lists this signal recognition particle RNA (330 nucleotides) under Candidatus Bathyarchaeota archaeon. Its description in RNAcentral is "signal recognition particle sRNA". It matches the Rfam family "Archaeal signal recognition particle RNA". Lineage: Archaea; Thermoproteati; Candidatus Bathyarchaeota. The record is from RNAcentral.